This is a long non-coding RNA of Felis catus (domestic cat), 3073 nucleotides long. RefSeq lists it as uncharacterized. The transcript is spliced from 4 exons. NCBI's taxonomy places the organism in Eukaryota, Metazoa, Chordata, Mammalia, Carnivora, Felidae. The record is from RefSeq and is a predicted model, not a curated record.
AGAAAUGAAGUUCCACUUUAAAGAUGGGCAUCCAUACUUAAUAGAUACAUAGCUUUACUGCUUAUUAAUAAUUGAGAAAUGAUCAGUUAAUUUGUCCAAUGUGAACCUGGGUAUGUAACUUCAAAGACUGGUAGGGUAAAUUUUCAGGCUUUGCUUUACAUUUUAUUCCGAAAUAGUGUAAGUGUUUCUGUGGGUAAAUGUUCUAAAGCUUAUUUUUCUGUUAAAUUAAAAAGCAACUUGAUUCAUUUGGCUAAAUGGAUGUAUUCAUGAUCUGUUAGCCCUGUAACCAAACUUUCACUUGAUGCUAUUUUUAAGUGCAGCUUCAAAUGGGCUGGCCAUUUGAAAUUAAGCGCCUCUUUCUCCUUACAUAAUUGCUAAAGCAAUAUGACACAUUAUUAUCAGAGAAGCUCUUAUACUAAGUGGAUUUUAAUGUAUUUGUGUAUUAUCUAUGGCAGAGGGCAGAGAGGUGACCAGAAAGUGAUCUGAGUGCCUACAUUAUUCUGACUGAACUCUGCAGUAUUAUUUUGGCUUACGUCAAUCUUUUUUCCAGUGGAAUUUUCCAACGCUUCAGAACUGCCAGAUACAGAGCACAGUAGCUGUCACAGGAGAGGAUCUUGGUGAUUAGAAGGAUCUGGGGCCCCGGUGAAGCCAUCUGGCCCACACAAAUAAUCUAGGAUAACCUCUAUUUUAAGAUGUAGAAUUUGUACUUCUAGACUGCCUUCUUCUACUCUCUGUCAUCAGGGUGCCUUAGGAACAUGUCAUCACUUUCAAUUUUUUAUCAUAAAGCUAAUCUCUUAACUCAGGCGAAAGACCUGGCAGGCAAAGCAUGUCAUGGUGGGAACUGAAACCCCUUCAAGCAAGAAUUACAUUCCUGACACCAGCAAGAACCCACAUGAUUGAUCCCAAGACAACGAUCCACCUGACCUUUACUGCCCAGCUGCAUGUACCCACCAACAUAUGUCCCACAGUUUCCUCAUAUAAACCUAGGUGCUGUUGGGCCCUGGACCCUGGUUACAACUUGAGUCUGAAGACCCCAAACUGGGGUGCAAAAAGUACAUAAAUAUUAUGGCUGCAUGUUUAUUGGGGUCUCUCCAUCAUGGACAAAGAGAUGUAACAGAGGAAUGUAGGUGUGAUGCAGUCAUUGGGGGUCAGUCAGAAUAUGGGACUCAGUCUCAGAGAGUCAACCAGUGCCUGGGGAGUUGGGAUUAUUGUCUUGUGACUCGGGCCUGUGGGGCCUCUCUCUCCUGAGAUCUAGGCAAAGUUUUAGGUCAGCACUGAUAAUCAACAGAAAUAGGACAGUAUAUUCAUGACCACCAACAUGAGAGUUUACAUAAACAAAGAAGAAGACAGUCAACUUGCAGUGGACUGUCCCACCACACCACCCACAUAAUAUUAAUCAGAUGAGAGUCAGGAGUGAGCAAUAGGAGAUCAAGAUCCUUGCUUCCCACAUGUCGACCCCACAGCCCCACACAAACUUGAUAGCAGUGGAACCACACCUUUAGCCUUGAGGGGAAGGGCAGUGCUGUGCUUCUCUGAAGGAGGAGUGUGUGUGUGUGUGUGUGUGUGUGUGUGUGUGUGUGAUUUGUAGUGUUUGAUUAUCACCACAGUAUAAAUAUCCCGUCAGGGCCAAUUUGGAAUUCCAACAAGACAUCACUGAACUCUGAGUUGGGAAAGAGAUGUGCACGGUAGGCUCUUAUGAGGUGGUGAGAGCCUUGAGUACAGUGUAAGAUUAUAUUUCUAUGAUGGAAAACACUCAGAAUUGGCCAAGAUGAGAUUAUUUUACUAACUGAAAAGGGAUAGCCUCAGAUUGAGGAGUUGCCAAGGUUCCUGGUAGAUAGAUACCCACUGAACAGGAUGCAAUUGGUAGCAAUUGCUUAAAAAAGUAAGAAUGAUUUUUCAUGUUUAUAACUUAAGGAGUAGGGAUUUGCAAGGAACCCAGUCUUAGAAUUCUUGAAUGCACAGCCAAGAGUAACCAAGACAGGGAGUUCCCUAAACAAAGAGGGACCUCAAAGUUAGCAUAGUUACCCAGAGCUAAAUCUGAAAGAAUUGAACAGUAGUUGGAAUAUAGCUUUAAUGACUGCUGGUGGGGGUUGGGGGAACAUCUAUCUCUCAUGAGUGGCAUUGGGGGAGGGUUCUGGACACAAAUCCUUGGCACGUUGAAUUAUCAAGUCUGAAACCAGUCAUCUAUGAUUCUCUGAAUGGCUGGCCUAUUACUAGAAAAAGGCAAUAGAAGAAUACCCCUCACCCUAGCCAUUGUCCUGAAGGCAUUGGAAGAAAAAGAGAAACCCAUGAGAAAUAAUUUGUAAGCCUGGGCUCUUUGCAUAAAAACUAAUAUGUAAUUGGUAUACUCUCGGAAGGUAGGUGAGGCAGAGCAAAAACAAUUGUAGAGACAAAUAUUCGCAGCCCAGGCACAUGAACUGCCCACCAAUGCCAGUUUCCUUGGGGCUGAUCUCACAGACAUAACAACCCACUCAAGGAAAUGCAUCACUCUGAAGUGAAUGGAAAUUCUGGAAAUAAAAGUAUAGUUACUGCAUUAAAAUAAAAUAAACACUCAGUGAGUGUGCUAAAUAGUACAUUAGACAGGCGUGGCUAUGAAAUUGGAUAGAUUUGAGAAAAGUAUCCAGAAUCCAGCAUAAGAAGUAAGAAAUGGAAAAUACAAAAGGUCCAGCUCCAUACAGUACAGAGUAAGAUCUGAUCAGCACCACACAGAAGUCCAAUGUGUAAAAAUAGAGGAGGGGACAGCUAACAAAUAGCAGAACAAAUAAGUCAUGCCCAGGGGAAAGGGGUCUUAUGCCUAAAUGCUUGAUGUCAUUCUUUUCCCAUUCUCUGCUCUUCUCUCUCCUACGGUCAUUGCAUGUAUUCCCACAGCUGUAAUUACUAUCAAUAUGGUGGUGGCUCAAACAUAUAUACCCUUGAUCCAGACCUUACUUUUGAAGUCCAGACUUAUAUAUCCACCUAAGUAUAUCCAUUUAUAUAUUUCACAUGCAUCUAUAAAUAAGCCUGAUGAGGAGUGCCUGGGUGACUCAUUUGGUUAAGUGUCCAACUCUUGAUUUGGGCUCAGGUCAUGAUCUCA